Molecule: ribosomal RNA, 495 nt
Filed under: uncultured bacterium
Lineage: Bacteria
Description: partial 16S ribosomal RNA
Rfam family: Bacterial small subunit ribosomal RNA
Source: RNAcentral
UGAACGCUGGCGGCGUGCCUAAUACAUGCAAGUCGAGCGAACAGACGAGGAGCUUGCUCCUCUGACGUUAGCGGCGGACGGGUGAGUAACACGUGGAUAACCUACCUAUAAGACUGGGAUAACUUCGGGAAACCGGAGCUAAUACCGGAUAAUAUAUUGAACCGCAUGGUUCAAUAGUGAAAGACGGUUUUGCUGUCACUUAUAGAUGGAUCCACGCCGCAUUAGCUAGUUGGUAAGGUAACGGCUUACCAAGGCAACGAUGCGUAGCCGACCUGAGAGGGUGAUCGGCCACACUGGAACUGAGACACGGUCCAGACUCCUACGGGAGGCAGCAGUAGGGAAUCUUCCGCAAUGGGCGAAAGCCUGACGGAGCAACGCCGCGUGAGUGAUGAAGGUCUUCGGAUCGUAAAACUCUGUUAUUAGGGAAGAACAAAUGUGUAAGUAACUAUGCACGUCUUGACGGUACCUAAUCAGAAAGCCACGGCUAACUACGUG